This 443-nucleotide ribosomal RNA is filed under the name uncultured bacterium. RNAcentral's name for it is "partial 16S ribosomal RNA". It matches the Rfam family "Bacterial small subunit ribosomal RNA", at positions 338 to 795 of the family's 1533-position model. The record is from RNAcentral.
CCUACGGGUGGCAGCAGUGGGGAAUAUUGGACAAUGGGGGGAACCCUGAUCCAGCGACGCCGCGUGAGUGAAGAAGUAUUUCGGUAUGUAAAGCUCUAUCAGCAGGGAAGAAAGAAAUGACGGUACCUGACUAAGAAGCCCCGGCUAACUACGUGCCAGCAGCCGCGGUAAUACGUAGGUGGCAAGCGUUAUCCGGAUUUACUGGGUGUAAAGGGAGCGUAGACGGCAGUGCAAGUCUGGAGUGAAAGGCGGGGGCUCAACCCCCGGACUGCUCUGGAAACUGUACGGCUGGAGUGCAGGAGAGGUAAGUGGAAUUCCUAGUGUAGCGGUGAAAUGCGUAGAUAUUAGGAGGAACACCAGUGGCGAAGGCGGCUUACUGGACUGUAACUGACGUUGAGGCUCGAAAGCGUGGGGAGCAAACAGGAUUAGAUACCCCAGUAGUC